RNAcentral lists this long non-coding RNA (2745 nucleotides) under Schistocerca americana (American grasshopper). Its description in RNAcentral is "uncharacterized LOC124601559". Lineage: Eukaryota; Metazoa; Arthropoda; Insecta; Orthoptera; Acrididae. The record is from RNAcentral.
AUAGCACCAAAAAACAUUCUGUUACAGAUCUUUAUUGCAAUAUGGGCAGAAAGCGAAAUUCCUCAAGAAUGAACCACACAAAUUGUUGUACCUAUACUAAAGCCCAGCAAAGAUCAACAGUGGAUUCAUAUCGUCCAAUUGCAGUAUCAUCGUACUUAGAAAGACUUUUGAACACCUCAAAGUAUGUCACAGAACAGCUUUUGAAAAGAGAGCAGGAGCACUAUUGACUAUUUACCUAUCCUCGGUGGACUGUGAAAAAGCAUUCGAUGAGAAAGGUUGUCUUACAGCUUCAUACUUGGAUAUAUUGGGAACAUACGAUUCUGUUGACAUUUUCUUACUUUUGUAGAUGUUAGACCACCUUGGUGUCCUAUACAUUUGUUUUCAAAUUCUUGAAAAUUAUUUAAAUGGUAGAACUGUUUACAUCAGAAAGCAAGACAAUAGUUUACAUGGACCCUACUCAGUGUGGAAAGGCUUAUCUCAAGGUAAUCCCCUCUUAUGUGCCUUAUUUGUUGCAGAUUUGGAAAACAUUGUGGUCCCUCUAUUCAAGUGCUAAAAUAUGCAGAUUAUGUCUGCAUAUAGACAGCAUCCAUCAGCCUAGAAAUGUGUUGCUCAUGGAUGAAUAAUGCCGCUGAUCUACUGUCUGAAUGGUUGCUCAAUUUGUCACAAUCAAAAUCUUCUGUAGUUUUGUUUGCACAAAAACACUGAACAAACCCAAUGAAUACAAUAAUCCUGGGACCCUUUAGAUUGAUUGUACCAACAUCAGCUAAAGCAUUGGGGCUUUUUGUGGAUAGCAGAUUAACCUGGACAGAACACGUCAAACGUACUGUUACGAAAACAGAAAAAGCUCCGAAUGUCUUACAUGCUGUAAGUCGCCUGUGGUGGGGAGUCCAGCCAGCCAUACUCAUCAUCCUAUACGUGGUCUAAUACACUUUGUAAUUGACUACAGAAGUUUUCUAUUUGGAAAUGUGGUACAAAAUGUACUAGAAAAACUAAAUGCACUUCAGUACCAGGCUAUUAGCCAGUGCCUAAGAGCAAUGAAGUCAUCACCAACUAAUGCUCUUUUAACAGAAGCCAAAGAAAUGCCUUUUGACAUCUGUAGAGUACUACUUGCUAAGAAGCUUCUGCUGCAAAGAUCUGUAGUAAUUAAUCAUCUCGUCACAGUUAAAGCUAAGUGGUUGGCAGAGAGAAGAUACCCAGCUGAACGCAAAUUAACGCCACUGUUAGUAACGGGCUUCCAGUGUCUCAGAUUUACGUUCAAUUUGAUAUGGAAGGAAUGAAUGUUACCAGCAUUUAGUAAAAAAUAUGGAACAACAGCCUGCCAGAUAGCUAAAUAGCUUUUAUGACCACGAUUUAGUAGUAUUUACACUGCAGAAGUCACAGUGAUUAAUGAGAGAAUUAAGUUUCAAAUUGAAAAUGGCAACAAAACACUAAUUCUCACUGACUCUAGAAAUGCUUUGGAGAAAUUAGAGCAUCAAAGGUGGAAAGCUGAUAACAAUUGUAUCUAUGUUCUGGUGGAAUUAAUAACAAAAGCCAGCAAUGAAAAUAAAUCCGUACAUCUAAUGCGGGGAAAGGUCUUCACAGGCAUUUGGCAUAAUGAAAUAGUAGAUGGCCUUGCAAAAGAAAGCAUCAAAGAAUGGGAACCAGUAUUUACCCACUUCCAUGUUCUGACUUUCUCCAUGUUUCAAAACAGAGGCAUACUAUCAAUGGGAACAGUAGUGACAAACGUCACAGCAGAGGAAGGGCUCUUUGUUCGCUUCAGUCCAUAAACCCUGAUACAGUCAGAAUCUCCCAAGCAGGUAUGUAAAAUCAGUUACUAGAGUAAGGUUGGGACAUGCAUGUUUUCCUGCACACGUCUACGAGAUUGGCAUGAUAGGCUCUCCCACAUCCCGUGAACAUCCAGAAGACAAUGGAGAUUGCUUCCUCGUUCGCAUCCGCUACUCCCUGUUCUGCACUCAUUGGUAGCACACUGCACCUCUACAAAUCCACCAUGGCACUCGGGGGCCACAGCGCAGUGUAAGUGUCCUGGCAUUAUUUGUAUAUUUUCCUACCCAGGCAGUCGACCAUAGUACUGUCUGGUGUCACUUUUGCAUUGACAUAGGUUUCACAGCCCUAGCAGUUUCAAAAUGUUUUUCAAAAGUUUUUUAAAAAAUUUUUAAAAUUUUUUUUAUGAAAUCUUUUGGUUUUUAUCCUGCCUCUUGCUAUUUCCAGUGCGACACCUGUGGAUGGGCUUAUGAGACCCCAAAACCGGUUGUGAUGAUAAAAGAAAUUUACAACUGAAGCGGUACUUUCAACCUUGGGAUCUAGUUUUUGGUGGAAUUGCUGUGAUGUAGUCAGUGACAUGAAACUACAAUGGCGCGAUAAUCCGCUUGCUGAGUUUAACUGCUCCCAUGAGGCCUGUCAAAUGCUAUAACAUCGGUCAUGGACCAUAAAUGGUCUAUGACGUCGGUAACCUCUGAGCAUGAAGUGAACUCUUAUGUGUCACAACUCGAACUGCACAAGUUUGCUGUACAAUACCAGUGCUGCAGAGGUCCUGCUGCACAAUGCCCUUGAACUGUGAACCAGCUUCUCCCCUGUGGACUUUGAUCUGCAGUGUCAUUGAUGUUGAAAGAGACUUUUUUUCUCCAUAGUGGAAUAACACACCCAGAGAAGUUGAACUCAAUGGAUUUCCUAUAACAUACAAUCCAAACUUUUUGUAAUUAAUUGACUACUUAGGCUUAAAAUCGUGGCUAAAUGUUUGUACGAGUG